Molecule: ribosomal RNA, 619 nt
Filed under: Hansenula anomala
Lineage: Eukaryota; Fungi; Ascomycota; Saccharomycetes; Phaffomycetales; Wickerhamomycetaceae
Description: Wickerhamomyces anomalus partial large subunit ribosomal RNA
Rfam family: Eukaryotic large subunit ribosomal RNA
Source: RNAcentral
UGCAUAUCCAAAAAGCGGAGGAAAAGAAACCAACAGGGAUUGCCUCAGUAACGGCGAGUGAAGCGGCAAAAGCUCAAAUUUGAAAUCUAGCACCUUCGGUGUUUGAGUUGUAAUUUGAAGAUGGUAACCUUGGGUUUGGCUCUUGUCUAUGUUCCUUGGAACAGGACGUCAUAGAGGGUGAGAAUCCCGUCUGAUGAGAUGCCCAUUCCUAUGUAAGGUGCUAUCGAAGAGUCGAGUUGUUUGGGAAUGCAGCUCUAAGUGGGUGGUAAAUUCCAUCUAAAGCUAAAUAUUGGCGAGAGACCGAUAGCGAACAAGUACAGUGAUGGAAAGAUGAAAAGAACUUUGAAAAGAGAGUGAAAAAGUACGUGAAAUUGUUGAAAGGGAAGGGCAUUAGAUCAGACUUGGUGUUUUACGAUUAUCUUCUCUUCUUGAGUUGUGCACUCGUAUUUCACUGGGCCAGCAUCGAUUCGGAUGGCAAGAUAAUGGCAGUUGAAUGUGGCUUCACUUCGGUGGAGUGUUAUAGCUUCUGCUGAUAUUGCCUGUCUGGAUCGAGGGCUGCGUCUUUUGACUAGGAUGCUGGCGUAAUGAUCUAAUGCCGCCCGUCUUGAACAACGGACCA